UUUGAGUUAUCCUAGAGGUUGAUAUAAUACUCACCUAUAUCCUUAGUGAUGGACUAUAAGUCUUCCAUGCUUACUAUAGUUUUUUAUUUGAUAAAACUUCUCGAUUUUUGUUCGCUUUCUAACCUUUCCUUUGAUAAAUAGAAGUGCGGUGGCGACUCGAAUUUUAUGAUUUACUUUUGAUUUAGUCAAUAAAUCUAAAGGUAAC
Molecule: long non-coding RNA, 205 nt
Filed under: Lathyrus oleraceus (garden pea)
Lineage: Eukaryota; Viridiplantae; Streptophyta; Magnoliopsida; Fabales; Fabaceae
Description: Pisum sativum (pea) long non-coding RNA (PSAT_LNC035576)
Source: RNAcentral